This 456-nucleotide ribosomal RNA is filed under the name uncultured bacterium. RNAcentral describes it as "bacterial SSU rRNA". It matches the Rfam family "Bacterial small subunit ribosomal RNA", at positions 340 to 786 of the family's 1533-position model. The record is from RNAcentral.
UACGGAAGGCAGCAGUGGGGAAUAUUGCACAAUGGGCGCAAGCCUGAUGCAGCCAUGCCGCGUGUAUGAAGAAGGCCUUCGGGUUGUAAAGUACUUUCAGUCGUGAGGAAGGUGUUAAGGUUAAUAACCUUAGCAAUUGACGUUAGCGACAGAAGAAGCACCGGCUAACUCCGUGCCAGCAGCCGCGGUAAUACGGAGGAUGCGAGCGUUAAUCGGAAUUACUGGGCGUAAAGGGCACGCAGGCGGUUAAUUAAGUUGGAUGUGAAAUCCCCGGGCUUAACCUGGGAAUGGCAUUCAAGACUGGUUAGCUAGAGUCUUGUAGAGGGGGUAGAAUUCCAUGUGUAGCGGUGAAAUGCGUAGAGAUGUGGAGGAAUACCGGUGGCGAAGGCGGCCCCUGGGACAAAGACUGACGCUCAUGUGCGAAAGCGUGGGGAGCGAAACAGGGAUUAGGAUACC